CCAAAAUCCGGGCGCGGAAUUCAAGGGUGUGAGGCGAGCGGCUUAGGCCGCGAAGCAAUCGGAAGUGGUUCCAAGAAAAGCCUCUAAGCUUCAGUCUAACAAGACCGUACCGCAAACCGACACAGGUGGGCGAGAUGAGUAUUCUAAGGCGCUUGAGAGAACUCGGGAGAAGGAACUCGGCAAAUUGGUACCGUAACUUCGGGAUAAGGUACGCCCUUGUAGCUUGACUGGCCUGCGCCAGGAGGGUGAGAGGGUUGCAAUAAACUGGUGGCUGCGACUGUUUAAUAAAAACACAGCACUCUGCAAACACGAAAGUGGACGUAUAGGGUGUGACGCCUGCCCGGUGCCGGAAGAUUAAAUGAUGGGGUGCAAGCUCUUGAUUGAAGUCCCGGUAAACGGCGGCCGUAACAAUAACGGUCCUAAGGUAGCGAAAUUCCUUGUCGGGUAAGUUCCGACCUGCACGAAUGGCGUAACGAUGGCCACACUGUCUCCUCCCGAGACUCAGCGAAGUUGAAGUGUUUGUGAUGAUGCAAUCUCCCCGCGGCUAGACGGAAAGACCCCAUGAACCUUUACUGUAGCUUUGCAUUGGACUUUGAACCGAUCUGUGUAGGAUAGGUGGGAGGCUAUGAAACCGGAACGCUAGUUUCGGUGGAGCCGUCCUUGAAAUACCACCCUGGUUUGUUUGAGGUUCUAACCUUGGUCCGUUAUCCGGACUGGGGACAGUGCAUGGUAGGCAGUUUGACUGGGGCGGUCUCCUCCCAAAGUGUAACGGAGGAGUACGAAGGUACGCUAGGUACGGUCGGAAAUCGUGCUGAUAGUGCAAUGGCAUAAGCGUGCUUAACUGCGAGACCGACAAGUCGAGCAGGUGCGAAAGCAGGUCAUAGUGAUCCGGUGGUUCUGUAUGGAAGGGCCAUCGCUCAACGGAUAAAAGGUACUCUGGGAUAACAGGCUGAUACCGCCCAAGAGUUCAUAUCGACGGCGGUGUUUGGCACCUCGAUGUCGGCUCAUCUCAUCCUGGGGCUGUAGCCGGUCCCAAGGGUAUGGCUGUUCGCCAUUUAAAGAGGUACGUGAGCUGGGUUUAAAACGUCGUGAGACAGUUUGGUCCCUAUCUGCCGUGGGCGUUGGAUAUUUGAAGGGGGCUGCUCCUAGUACGAGAGGACCGGAGUGGACGAACCUCUGGUGUACCGGUUGUCACGCCAGUGGCAUCGCCGGGUAGCUAUGUUCGGAAGAGAUAACCGCUGAAAGCAUCUAAGCGGGAAACUCGCCUUAAGAUGAGAUAUCCCCGGGGACUUGAUCCCCUUGAAGGGUCGUUCUAGACCAGGACGUUGAUAGGUCAGGUGUGGAAGCG
RNAcentral lists this ribosomal RNA (1348 nucleotides) under metagenome. Its description in RNAcentral is "bacterial LSU rRNA". It matches the Rfam family "Bacterial large subunit ribosomal RNA", at positions 1536 to 2875 of the family's 2925-position model. The record is from RNAcentral.